CAUGUCUUUUUGUUAAUGAUUUAAAGUCUGGCCUGCUCAAUGAUGUUUAAAUUGCCGCAGUAUUUUGACUGUGCAAAGGUAGCAUAAUAAUUAGUUUCUUGAUUAGGGGCUUGAAUGAAAGGUUGAACAAGAAAAUUUCUGUCUCUAUCUUAUUUUUAUUGAAUUUUAUUUUUAAGUUAAAAAGCUUAAAUUUUUUUAAAAGACGAGAAGACCCUAUAGAGUUUAAUAAUUUGAUUUAGAUUAAUAUUUAGAAAUUUAAUUUUUUUAGAUUAUUUGAUUGGGGUGAUUCAUUAAUUUAUUAAAUUUAUUGAUUUUUUAUAAUUGUUGAUUUUUAAAUUUUAAAUUUGUGAUCUCAAGUUUAAAUUAAAUUACCUUAGGGAUAACAGCGUAAUUUUUCUUAAAAGUUCUUAUUAAAAGAAGAGUUUGCGACCUCGAUGUUGGAUUAAAAUAAAUUUUUGGUGCAGUAGCUUAUGGAUUAGGUCUGUUCGACCUUUAAAAUUUUACAUGAUCUGAGUUUAGACCGGCGUGAGCCAGGUUAGAUUCUAUCUUUAGGAUUUUUAUAAUAUUUUAGUACGAAAGGACCAAUUAUUGAUUAGAUUAAUUG
RNAcentral lists this ribosomal RNA (604 nucleotides) under Dilophotes sp. AJa LB-2014. Its description in RNAcentral is "partial 16S ribosomal RNA". The stretch from base 379 to 537 matches the Rfam family "Bacterial large subunit ribosomal RNA", at positions 2473 to 2632 of the family's 2925-position model. Lineage: Eukaryota; Metazoa; Arthropoda; Insecta; Coleoptera; Lycidae. The record is from RNAcentral.